ACCUCCAGUUCGGAUUGCAGCCUGCAACUCGGCUGCAUGAAGCCGGGAUCGCUAGUAAUCGCGGAUCAGAAUGCCGCGGUGAAUACGUUCCCGGGUCUUGUACACACCGCCCGUCACACCAUGGGAGCCGGUAACGCCCGAAGUCAGUGACCCAACCGAGAGGAGGGAGCUGCCGAAGGCGGGACAGGUAACUGGGGUGAAGUCGUAACAAGGUAAC
Molecule: ribosomal RNA, 217 nt
Filed under: uncultured bacterium
Lineage: Bacteria
Description: partial 16S ribosomal RNA
Rfam family: Bacterial small subunit ribosomal RNA
Source: RNAcentral